This 253-nucleotide ribosomal RNA is filed under the name uncultured bacterium. RNAcentral describes it as "partial 16S ribosomal RNA". It matches the Rfam family "Bacterial small subunit ribosomal RNA", at positions 524 to 776 of the family's 1533-position model. The record is from RNAcentral.
UACAGAGGGUGCAAGCGUUGCUCGGAAUCAUUGGGCGUAAAGGGUAGGUAGGUGGUCUCAUUUGUCUGGGGUGAAAGCCUUGGGCUUAACCCAAGAAGUGCCCCAGAAACGGUGAGACUCGAGUGCUGGAGAGGGUCGUGGAAUUCCCGGUGUAGCGGUGAAAUGCGUAGAGAUCGGGAGGAACACCAGAGGCGAAGGCGGCGACCUGGACAGUUACUGACACUAAACUACGAAAGCGUGGGGAGCAAACAGG